RNAcentral lists this transfer RNA (64 nucleotides) under Gammaproteobacteria bacterium RIFCSPHIGHO2_12_FULL_35_23. Its description in RNAcentral is "tRNA-Ser". It matches the Rfam family "tRNA". Rfam says of the family: Transfer RNA (tRNA) molecules are approximately 80 nucleotides in length. Their secondary structure includes four short double-helical elements and three loops (D, anti-codon, and T loops). Further hydrogen bonds mediate the characteristic L-shaped molecular structure. tRNAs have two regions of fundamental functional importance: the anti-codon, which is responsible for specific mRNA codon recognition, and the 3' end, to which the tRNAs corresponding amino acid is attached (by aminoacyl-tRNA synthetases). tRNAs cope with the degeneracy of the genetic code in two manners: having more than one tRNA (with a specific anti-codon) for a particular amino acid; and 'wobble' base-pairing, i.e. permitting non-standard base-pairing at the 3rd anti-codon position. Lineage: Bacteria; Pseudomonadati; Pseudomonadota; Gammaproteobacteria. The record is from RNAcentral.
GGCCCUGUAGCUCAGUUGGUAGAGCCCGUUAAUUAACGCGUGGGUUCGAGUCCCACUGGGGCCU